AGAGGGAUAUCUGGGUCAAAUAGUGGGUUCAUUCCCAAUUUUUAAAGAAAUCUCCAUACUGCUUUCCAUAUUGGCUACACCAAUUUGCAGUCCCACCAGAAGU
This 103-nucleotide microRNA precursor is filed under the name Marmota monax (woodchuck). The record is from RNAcentral. Lineage: Eukaryota; Metazoa; Chordata; Mammalia; Rodentia; Sciuridae.